GCUAUCUGCAGUCGAGGGGCAGCAGGGGUAGCAAUACUCGCUGGCGACCGGCAAACGGGUGCGGAACACGUACGCAACCUUCCUUCAAGCGGGAGAUAGCCCGGAGAAAUCCGGAUUAAUAUCCCAUAGGAUUGUGGAUCGGCAUCGAUCAGCAAUUAAAGAUUUAUCACUUGAAGAUGGGCGUGCGUCUGAUUAGGUAGUUGGUGAGGUAACGGCUCACCAAGCCGACGAUCAGUAACUGGCGUGAGAGCGCGACCAGUCACACGGGCACUGAGACACGGGCCCGACUCCUACGGGAGGCAGCAGUAAGGAAUAUUGGUCAAUGGACGCAAGUCUGAACCAGCCAUGCCGCGUGGAGGAUGAAGGUCCUCUGGAUUGUAAACUUCUUUUAUCUGGGAAGAAAUGGUUGCUUUCUAGCGAUCUUGACGGUACCAGAUGAAUAAGCACCGGCUAACUCCGUGCCAGCAGCCGCGGUAAUACGGAGGGUGCAAGCGUUAUCCGGAUUCACUGGGUUUAAAGGGUGCGUAGGCGGAACAGAAAGUCCGUUGUGAAAUCUCCGAGCUUAACUCGGAAAUUGCGGUGGAUACUAUUGUUCUUGAAUACUGUUGAGGUUAGCGGAAUAUGUCAUGUAGCGGUGAAAUGCAUAGAUAUGACAUAGAACACCAAUUGCGAAGGCAGCUGGCUAAACAGAUAUUGACGCUGAGGCACGAAAGCGUGGGGAUCAAACAGGAUUAGAUACCCUGGUAGUCCACGCCCUAAACGAUGAUUACUCGACAUUUGCGAUACACAGCAAGUGUCUGAGCGAAAGCAUUAAGUAAUCCACCUGGGAAGUACGACCGCAAGGUUGAAAC
Molecule: ribosomal RNA, 851 nt
Filed under: uncultured bacterium
Lineage: Bacteria
Description: bacterial SSU rRNA
Rfam family: Bacterial small subunit ribosomal RNA
Source: RNAcentral